CAUUUUGUAGCGGAACGUGACAUUACGUUUAGUGUUUUGACACAGGUUUUGGUGUAAAAAAAUCAUAUAAGUAUAUGAAAAAUGGACGAGAAGUUAAUUGAACUUCUAAGAAAUCAUGAAGUGCUAUACAAUCACUCAUCAGCCGAGUACAGGGACCAGACGAUUCGAAAAGAAGCUUGGAAAGAAAUUGGUAGACACUUACAAAUAACAGGAAAAUUUACGGACAACGCCAAGGCAAAAUGGGACAAACUUAGACGAUGUUUCUGUAAUGCAAGAAAUAGACGCCUGUCUACAUAAAGUGGCCAAGUUACCAAAAAAAUAACGCCAUGGAAAUUUGAACAGCAGAUGACAUUUUUGCUGCCGUAUUUGGAAGGUCGAAGGACGCGCGGCAAUUUGCAGAAGUCUCAAAAGGAACAUAAAAUUUGCGUUCCCGACGAAAGAGAAAUUAACGACGUUGACGUUGACGCAGACGAGCAGCAAAUACAAGAACGCAGUACAGACGCUGAAGAUAUAGCUGAUGAAGGAGACCAAGAACAUAUUGCAGUUAUACAACAACAAACACCUUCGUAAGACGAUAUAUUGCUCCCCGAAAAUAGUAAAACAUUAGAGCACAUGAAGAAAAACAAAACGUGUUUACAAAAAAAAAUUCUGCAGCCGAGAAAAUGGCGACAUUAAUGGAACAAAAUGCUGCUCUCAGAAAAAGAAAAUUCGAAGAGAAAAACAGCGCAAAAUAAACAUACAUGUUUUGAAGAUAUGGACAAAACUGACAUAUUUUUCCUAAGUUUGGCGAGAAUGACGAAACAAUUACCAAAAGCCGAACAAGCUGUAGUUAAAAUAACAGUGAGCACUGCAAUCCUUCAAGCUGAAUUGAGAAGCGCACAAGCACAAAGUGCUCCAAUACCUGCACCAUCUUCGUCAUAUGCUUUGCAACCAUUGUUUUCACCUCACUACCAUUCUAGGCAGUCUACGUCAUCAUCGUUAUAUUCUGUGCAACCCUUGUCGUCACCUCAUGCAUAUUCUAGAUCAUCAUCAGAAUUCUCUUCGGAGAGAGAGAACAUGCAAUCGGCUACAGCAGAGACUCGCGAGAAAUGG
Molecule: long non-coding RNA, 1092 nt
Filed under: Anthonomus grandis grandis
Lineage: Eukaryota; Metazoa; Arthropoda; Insecta; Coleoptera; Curculionidae
Description: uncharacterized LOC126740188
Source: RNAcentral